Molecule: ribosomal RNA, 249 nt
Filed under: uncultured bacterium
Lineage: Bacteria
Description: partial 16S ribosomal RNA
Rfam family: Bacterial small subunit ribosomal RNA
Source: RNAcentral
ACGGGUGAGUAAUGUCUGGGAAACUGCCUGAUGAGGGGGAUAACUACUGGAACGGUAGCUAAUACCGCAUAACGUCGCAAGACCAAAGAGGGGGACCUUCGGGCCUCUUGCCAUCAGAUGUGCCCAGAUGGGAUUAGCUAGUAGGUGGGGUAACGGCUCACCUAGGCGACAAUCCCUAGCUGGUCUGAGAGGAUGACCAGCCACACUGGAACUGAGACACGGUCCAGACUCCUACGGGAGGGCAGCAUG